Molecule: ribosomal RNA, 253 nt
Filed under: uncultured bacterium
Lineage: Bacteria
Description: partial 16S ribosomal RNA
Rfam family: Bacterial small subunit ribosomal RNA
Source: RNAcentral
UACGGGGGGGGCAAGCGUUGUUCGGAAUUACUGGGCGUAAAGGGUUCGUAGGUGGCCAACUAAGUCAGACGUGAAAUCCCUCAGCUCAACUGGGGAACUGCGUCUGAUACUGGUCGGCUUGAGUGCAGGAGAGGAACGCGGAAUUCCAGGUGUAGCGGUGAAAUGCGUAGAUAUCUGGAGGAACACCGGUGGCGAAGGCGGCGUUCUGGACUGUAACUGACACUGAUGAACGAAAGCCAGGGGAGCAAACGGG